GGUCCGUAAAUCCUGUUAAUGGCACCGUAAAAAAACCAAUUUUGGCCAAAGGUAUAAAUAAAAGUGCGCUCUUAACUAUUUAAUUAGACUGGUCAAGAUGAAAACAAUUUCUUUCGCUGUUGUUGCACUCGUACUGACGUUGCAUUCGUUGGAUGUUUUAGGCUACCGCCAAUGCGGUUUUUGCCAUCAAAAAUGUGAUGCUGAUUAUGCCAACAAAGCAAUUCCUUGCACCUCGCAUUGCUUCUCCGUAGUUUUUAAUGAUGGUGGUGUUUAUAGAGGGUGUGCUCCAACCAAAAAUACCGAAUUACCACAAAAGUGUUACAGAUGGAAGAAUGCGCAUAAAGGAAUCAAAGAAUGCUACACUUGCAAUUCAGAUUUUUGUAAUAUGACUCCUUUGUAAAAACUCAAAUGUUCAAACUUGAGGCCAAUAAAUAGAAGUAUCGUAACGGAAAA
Tribolium castaneum (red flour beetle) is the source of this 453-nucleotide RNA transcript. RefSeq lists it as uncharacterized. The transcript has 3 exons. The record is from RefSeq and is a predicted model, not a curated record. Lineage: Eukaryota; Metazoa; Arthropoda; Insecta; Coleoptera; Tenebrionidae.